This 327-nucleotide ribosomal RNA is filed under the name uncultured bacterium. RNAcentral's name for it is "bacterial SSU rRNA". It matches the Rfam family "Bacterial small subunit ribosomal RNA", at positions 28 to 334 of the family's 1533-position model. The record is from RNAcentral.
GACGAACGCUGGCGGCGUGCUUAACACAUGCAAGUCGAACGGGGAUAUACUGGAGGAUAGCUUCGGCAGGAAUCGGGUAUAUUCCAGUGGCGGACGGGUGAGUAACGCGUGAACAAUCUGUCCCAGACAGGGGGAUAACACUUGGAAACAGGUGCUAAUACCGCAUGAGACCACGGGAUCGCAUGGUUCUGAGGUAAAAGGAGCAAUCCGGUUUGGGGUGAGUUCGCGUCCGAUUAGAUAGUUGGUGAGGUAACGGCCCACCAAGUCGACGAUCGGUAGCCGACCUGAGAGGGUGAUCGGCCACAUUGGAACUGAGAGACGGUCCAA